AUUUAUUAUGUACUACCUUUUUAAUAUAGUUUGAGGUUAUUGUUAAUUAAUAUCAAAUUUAUUACGUAUAACUCUUUUUUUCUACCUAAGAAUUGUAUUGACUUUCAAUUGCGAGUCAUCCAUUAUAGUAAAGUUCGUAUUGGGAUUUAUUUGGAACAUUACUGCAUUGUACGAUUGCACAAUUAUUAUUUUUUUUAUUAAUGGCUAAAAACAAGACCCAAAAAAUAGGUUAUUUGAUGUGAAAGACAAUUAGUCAGUAAAAAAUUAAAAAAUUAAUUGACGAUACAGGUGGAUAGCUUUUUAACUCUUACACUCACACUGGCUUACGUGGAAAAUUAUAAGACAUACAGGUAUAUCUGUAUUACGUAUACUGGACAAUUUUAUUGGAUCGGGUGCAUUUGUUAUCUAUGUUACGGUAUACUUAAAUAUCUACUCACACCAUAAUACUGAGAUAUCAGAUUUUUUUUAAAUUUUGUAAGAUUCAAAAAGUCGCGAUGUCACGAUUAAUGGAUAUGAAAGAUAAAAUUUUAUGUGGUCACUAUAAAAAAAAUAUGAUAAUAAAAUGUAAUGUUAAAGCAUAAGAAACUUUUAUUCGGCAUAAAAGCUAUGUAUGAUUCAAAGCCAUGUAUUAUCUACUUGAGUGAGAUUAUCACAACAAGAUGACCGUGUUCACAACAUUUAUCACCAAAGAAAAUUUGAAUUGACAAAGAUGUCAAGUGGAUUUAAUUGAAUUGCAACUAAAUCAGCUACUAUGAUAUUAUGUUAAAUAUUUAUGGAGAAAUUUUUACAAUAUACUUUACUACACUGGCAUCAUAAGCAGCUGAGUGUGUCCGACCGGUACGAAGUCGGUGAACAUACUUAGUUGAGCCCAAGAAUUAAUCUGAAUUAUUUGAUUACAUUAAAUAUGAUAUUACAUCUAGAACGAGAGCGAUAAGUUGCUAUUUUUAUCAAAGAUAUACUCUGAAUCUUUCCGAUAUAUUAUAAAUUUAGUGGUAGGCGACGAUUUUUUUUCACUUUGCUCAAUGUUUGUAUUUUUAUGUAUAAAGCCGAUCGGCGUAGAAAAUAAAUAAAUAAAAUAAUUAUACUAAAAUUGGUAAUUUUAUUAUUUGUAGAAAUCAUUCUUUUUCACUUGU
Microplitis demolitor is the source of this 1133-nucleotide long non-coding RNA. RefSeq lists it as uncharacterized. The transcript has 3 exons. The record is from RefSeq and is a predicted model, not a curated record. Lineage: Eukaryota; Metazoa; Arthropoda; Insecta; Hymenoptera; Braconidae.